AGUAACUAUUGGAAACGAUAGCUAAUACCGCAUAACAAAUGGAUGACCCAUGUCAUUUAUUUGAAAGGGGCAAAUGCUCCACUACAAGAUGGACCUGCGUUGUAUUAGCUAGUAGGUGAGGUAACGGCUCACCUAGGCGACGAUACAUAGCCGACCUGAGAGGGUGAUCGGCCACACUGGGACUGAGACACGGCCCAGACUCCUACGGGAGGCAGCAUG
RNAcentral lists this ribosomal RNA (219 nucleotides) under uncultured bacterium. RNAcentral's name for it is "partial 16S ribosomal RNA". It matches the Rfam family "Bacterial small subunit ribosomal RNA", at positions 142 to 353 of the family's 1533-position model. The record is from RNAcentral.